RNAcentral lists this small RNA (6383 nucleotides) under Rattus norvegicus (Norway rat). Its description in RNAcentral is "uncharacterized LOC108351040". Lineage: Eukaryota; Metazoa; Chordata; Mammalia; Rodentia; Muridae. The record is from RNAcentral.
AUGCGUGUGGCAGGCGCUGGGUACCCAGGACUAGUCCAUCUUCCCAAAGCCCUGGGUGGAGGAAAACACGCCCCAACUUUACAGAAACAUUGUAUCAAGUCCUGGGUAAUGUCUAUGGGCCAGGUGGGCCGGGGCCAGUCUCUCCCCUCGGAAAGGGGAAUGUCCUGAUGGACCGGCCUGAGUGUCCUGAUGGCUUCAGGUGGUGAGAUCAUGUCACUUGGAUAAAGGGGGAGGAAAACACAGAGAAGGAUCCAUGUCUUCUGGUACCUAAGAUGGAGCUCCUAGAUGGAAAACAGACAUUGCCUACAACUGUAGGCAGGGGAGUGGACCCAUGCAGGAUGUCAGGGUUUCCCUCUCUGUCUGGGACAUUUUCCUGUGCCCAGCAGUGCCUGGGAGUCAGCCUGUGACCUCCAUUCCUGUGGCUGGGACCGCGCCUCUGGCAUCAGGAUGCAGCUGGUCCAGCUUCCAGCUUUGGAAAACAGAGGAUCUGCUGUGGGAAGCCAUGGAGAAGGUCUUCACCUACAGAGCCACCAUCUAAUCCCCCAUAUAGGCCUCUCUGCGCUCCCAGUCACGAUGGCCACCAUCAAGCAAAACCAAGCCUGCCACUGUAAAGCCAAAGACUCCCCCACUGGGGACCAGCCGGAGCCCCUCCCCUUUCCCCCCGGCCCCAGGCUACAUCUAGCCCACGGGCCCUCACUCCAUUCUCAGCUCUUUCAUGGCUUGGAUGCCCAAGAGUCUGAGAACCUGAUGACCCUGGUCUUCUUGCUGGCCUGGGGACCCCCAAGCCAGCCCAGGCUGUUCUGCACCUCAGACUGUGCUUCCCCACCCCCAGAGCGCUGUCCCGAGGCUGUCCUAUAGCCUGACACCCGCCUGGGCAGCAACAGCGUGGGGUAAGUGCAGUCAACUUCCUGUGUCCUGCCUCCCUGAGCAGCGGUGCCCAUGGCAGAUGGGAUGUGGGACCCCGCCCAACCCUACACUCCACCACACUGGGCUUCAGCUCUGAGUCCUCACUUCAUUCCUUCAGUGAGGGCUGGAGUUGGGCAGCACAGGGAAAGAGGACAGAGAGAAUCUUUUGGGGUGACAGGUUGGGGACCUCCCCUGGGUGACACUCAUCUCCUGACUGACUUUUGGGGUCUAGCCUCAGUCACUUGGCUCCAAUCCUCAUUCCUCUGAGUUCCCCAGCUCCAGUCCUCCCUGGGGCCCUCCUGAGCUUGGCUGGGAGCCUCCUUGAGUGGUGUAUGCUGGUGAGUCCUCACCCCGGGUUUCUGUCUACAUGGUGGGGAUAAGGACCCACAAGUGUCAGGAAGCCACUCACAGGGGAUGUGGGAUGGAUGACAGAUCUGCCAACAGUGGUCCAUGGGGCUUCUGAUGGUACAAACUCAGGGAUGAGCCUGUCCCAUGAAUUUCCUACAAAAGCUAUGCAUAAGUGUCAUUUUGGGGAUCCCUGGUGUGGAUUAGCUGUGUUCUUCCACCCCCAAUCUUGACCUUUGUAAUCUGAAAGUAGCUUUCCUUACCAGACAGUUUCUGCUGGUGAGAUCCAGUUUAGAGGACGUCACUGCAGGCUACGACAAAGGGCUGGAACCUUGGCACCCAUUCUGGGAUAGCGAGGCUCUGAAGAGGGAGGUGCAUGUGGAGGAUGCCUAAGGUAUGAGAGGGAAGGAACACAGUGCCCUCGGAUGCACCUCUUCUAGCCUGUUUUUUUGUUUUUGUUUUUAAGUUGCUGUGACUUCCUUCUCCUUUUCCUCUUGCUCCUCCUUCCCUCCUCCUCUCAUAUGGCCCAGGUUGACCCUGAGGUUACUAUGUAACUCAGGCUGGCCUUUAACUCUAGAUGACUCCUGUCUCAGUCCCUUAAGUGCUCGUGAAUGACUACGCGAGGUAAGCUGGCAUUUAAACAGAGGAUACGGCGGUUCAGAGGUAGAUAUGACGACUAUAUGAAGACUAGAUCACCGGAGUGGGUAAGAACUUGUGUGGGGAAAGCCGCAGCAGGGAAGGGUGAUUCCAUUGUCUCUAGUAGCCAGCAGCAGCUGACCCCAGUGUAGGCAGAGCGUGCCCUGGGUGCAACUGGAGAGGGAUUCAUGGACAGCGAUGGAGCCACCCUGGGGCUUCCAGGAGUAUGGAUGGGGUGGAUGAGGGUCUUGCCACUGUUCUGAGUCCUUGACACGGCAUGGGAUAGUGACAGGAAGACAGGACCCAAGUGCUAUCUGUACAAGUGUCUGACAGGCAAGUGCUGAGGCCCAAGGUGCUACAUGGAAAGUCAGGGUGCUCCACUGGCAGACAUCCCAAGGUGCUCCACUGAAAUUCCAAGGUGCUCCACUGAAAUCCUAAGGUGCUCUAUGGAAAGGUCAGUGCCCGCUUGCAAGUUGGGGAAGAAGCAUCCUCAGCAGAGUCUUCUAUUGAGCAUAUGACCUUGCCCUACCUGUUGUGUGGUCUGAACCAGCUCCUGCCCUCUCUGGGCCUGGUGAGGGGGAGGUGCCAUGCUCUCCUAUGAAGAACGCAGUGUGGCAGUGGGAAGAAUUAUUUUUCUGCGUUUCUAAGCUCUUUUAUGUGCCUCUUCUUUCAGUCACAGACGCCAGGGUCUCAGGGAGGACCAGAACUGGGGAUCUGAGGACAAAAGGGAAGGCUUGAUGUUAGCUUCUGAGUGAACGUGCUGCUGCUGUUGCUAGCCCACUGAUAAUGGCCCGGAGAACCGGCAGGGGAGGGGCUCCCAAGUCUAGACAUGUUCUUUGCACAUCAAGAGCCAGAUUACAGGAUUGUGGACAGGAUGAGGAGAGCAGGGAGAGGACACAGAGGCCACCAUACUGGGAGUGAGAGGGACAGGGAAGACACUCAGGGAUCCUGUGGUCCUGGGUGGGGAGGGUCUGGGUCAGUCUCUGCUUCUCAUGAUGUGGAAGGGGAGGCAGGCUUUGAUGGCCCCUGGAGGUGCUCAGCUGCCUCAGCCCAUACCCGUUAGGACACUUUCUCAUCUGUGAAGUUCUCCUGGAACCAGUGCAGGAUUUGUGGGGUUCAAGGAGCCGGUGCCAACUGUGGUGCCAGUUGCAAGAGGCAGGGAGAGGAGCCACAGGUAGAGCAAGUGUUACCUGGGGCACUGGGUAGGGGGUGUGGCCCAAUCUGCAUGCCCACCCUGCUGGUUCCUUCAGGAAGCCACAUCAGCUCCUGUCUCCAUCCGGGAAGCCAUGGUGAGAAAAGGACUAUUUUUUUUUUUUCUUGUGUGGGGCUAGGGUUGGAACCACAGGCCUGCCUGAUAGGCCCUCUACCACCAAGCUUUUAAAAUGGUUUCUCUUCAGUUUCCCUUUGCAGUGUUUGUUGGAAUCCAGGUCCUCACAAAUGCUAAACAAACCCUCAAGCACUGAGCCACACCCCUGCCAUUUGGGGACAAAGUAUAAAGGCAUUCCAGAAGCACCAUGGCAGGGUGACUGGUGACAGUGGUCAGAAAGCUAUGAUCUACUUGGAAACCCUCCCACCAUGUGACAGUAUCUGCAGUGAUUAUAAAGAGGGCGGACAGACCUGUGUGCUGGCUCUCCUGCGCUCCGGGCUUUGUAGCUAUUGCUGUUCCUGCGGUGCAUGGGGAGGUGAGAAGAAAAGCCUCAAAGGCAAGGAAGAGUUGUGCCUGCAGCUCACUCUGGGACACUGGGAGAGGAAAGAGGGUAGUUGUCCCACAAUGACCUUUGUUAUGAGGCAUCUCGGCAGAGCUGCCUGGAGUUGGACUGGUCCCACCUCUGAUUGGGUCUCAGUCUUGCAGGUAUAAAGAGGAACCACACAGGAAUGCUGAGUUCUUCUGCCCUCAGACAGCAGGAUGAGGCCCUCUCCUGCUCUGACUGACUUGCUGGUCACUUCCACUGAAAGGAGAUAAUUUCCCAGGAGAGGGAAAGGUUUUCUGGCACAUGGUGCCUGCCUGCGGCUUCAAGGACUUUCACUUAUGUGGUGGAGUCCCCUAUAUGGUCACUAGUGAGGCUUUAAGCCAUCCUCCCAACAGGGGUUGACAGGUAUCAUUUUUGGGAAAGACCCACCUUUAGGGAUAGUGUCUCUCUUUCCACAUGUGCCUAUCCCAGGUGAUUUGCAAAGGUGGACAUCAUUUUUUUUAAGACAUAGCUUUUUAUUGGUCUAAUUUACAUGCCAAGAGACCGGCUUGGGCAACUUUCUCCAUGUGCCCUCUGUUGAGAGCUCCUGGCUUGCCCCAGGAAAGAAGAGUGUCCUGGUCAGGGGUUGACAGACAUUCAGUUGGGACCUGAAGGGGCUCAGGGUGAUGGAGAGAUGGGGCCUCAGGGCAGAAGGAGAGCAGUGCCCUGAACAGCCCAUGCCUUGACAGGAUGGGAGGGAUUAGAAGGGAAGAACUUUCCCAGCAGCUCCUACUGUGCCCUUCAAGCCAUCAGCAGGUGGACAUCAUUCUUGACUGAUGCUAGUGUUCCUAUACUCUGGGAUGGAACCUCCAGCAGAGUCAAUAAGAUGAGGAGAUAAAGUUCGUGAUCUGCCCAAGGCCACGUGGCUAGCAAUUCUCAGACCAGUUCUGACCGUAUCUCCAGAGAACUUUAAACCAUGAGGGAAGGGAGAUCUAGAACUUAGAAAGCUCCAGAGCCAAGGAUAAAUGGAUGGCAUCAUUGCCACCUCCUAGUGGCCAUGUAUCCACAGUACCAUGAGGGUCACUCGAGCAGCAGGGCAAUCCUCGGAGAGUGACAGACAGUUGUUCAUGUGUCAGGUUCAGUUUUAUGUAGUACUGAUAGAGAUGCCCAGUUUCAAGGGCUGCCUUGUCUGCUGGGGUAGAAUCUGGAAGGGUGGUAGGGGGUGUACUGGGAUUGUGGAAUUAGAGGGGUAUUUCUGGGGUCUGGGUCAGAUAGAAAUCUAGAAAUUUCCUGGUGUCUUUGGUGCUUGUGUGUGUGUGGGAGAGCCAAGAGGAGUGGUGACUAUGGGAGGAGCAGCCUGUGCCAUGGCCCUGCAGUGAGGGAGCUUGGCUCAAAGAAUAUUGAGUAUCACAGAAGGCUAAGGUGAGGGUGGGGACUGGAUCCUGGGUAAGAGAUGGAGGAGGCCACAGGGGUGGUGAGAUGGGAGCUAGGGUGCUCCUCAGGGCAGAACUAGGGCUAGAAUGUGUGAUCCCCAGCUAGGAGGUCUCUGGCAUGAAUGAGAUGGGAAGCUGUGGCUCCUGGCUAGCUUGGCUCAACAACUAAUGCUCACUUUAGAGGCUCAGGGCUGCAACAUGCCCUCCAGGUCUGGGCAGGGAAGAGAGGGAAGCCCUCCGUUUUACACUCCUUCCCUAACCUCGAGGCCAUGCCAGGAACCCGGCCUGGAGGUACCCCUGCCUGACAGAAUAGAGAGCUGGGCCCACAGUACCUCAACCUGAACUAGUUUAAAGCACCCAGGAACUCUAGGUGUGGUGCUACACAUCUGUAGUUGCAGCUUCUGGGGAGGCAGAGCUGGUGGAUCGGAGUUCGAGGCCAGCCUGGCAACUCUGUGAACUCCUGUCCCAAAAGGAAAAGUAACAUCACGGCAGAGAAAGCUGAGGUAGACCAGUUAUCUAGCAUGCCUGAGACCCUGGGCUCCAUCUUCUAUGUCAAGCACAUGGAUGCACACACAGGCACAGGCAUAUGAUGUAUACACAGGCAUGCACACAGCACACACAGACACACAGACUGAGUGAGGGCUGGGUAGAGAAACCCCCUUGCAGGAGGCUGUCUUUCACACAUCAGCAUCUCCCUGCUCAUGGCAUUGUGGGUCCCAUCCUGUAGGUGAGAAGGCUCCUCAAGAGUCUGGGGGCAGGUGGUGGAGAAACAGCUCUGAGUCCCUGUGUGUUUGCAUGCUGAGCCUCCCUGGCAGGGCGAAACCUGCCCUAAAGGAGGAGUGUGCACCAGAUCUGACAGCAGAUGACAGAGGUUAAAGCAAAUACUAUCCUGGUGGCCAAGCCUAGGUCUCAUGAGGCAGGAAGCCACAUGAAGGCUGGGAAGAAAGCCUUGGGAAGGCUCAGCCUGCUGCCUGGUCUGCCCUGGGGAGCAUCCUUUGGAAGGAGGAGAGAUCCCAUUGGUCUUCUCAUGCACAACACAUUCUUCCCCAGCCAACCAGCCCUAGGCUCUCUGCACAUUCAUACAUCACUACAUCUCAUCUCAACUCCCAUGAAAAUGUUUCCACUCCUCGACUGCUUCAUCCUUCUUUCCCUCUCUCCCUUCCUGCCCUCCCUCCAUUGCUCCAGCCCUUCCUCCAUCCAUCCACGUAUCCAUCUACGUACUCCAUCACACAUCCCCAUUCCAGCAUCUGUCCCCAUUCCUCUAUCCCUCCCGUUUCCCUUCCUCCAUCCAUCCAUUUAUCACAUCCAUCCCUUCACUUCCAGCAUUCUUUUAUCUCUCCUGCUUCUUUCCCUCCCUCCCAACAUCUUCCCCACCCUCCUCCUCUUUCUCUCU